This 253-nucleotide ribosomal RNA is filed under the name uncultured bacterium. RNAcentral describes it as "partial 16S ribosomal RNA". It matches the Rfam family "Bacterial small subunit ribosomal RNA", at positions 524 to 776 of the family's 1533-position model. The record is from RNAcentral.
UACGGAGGGUGCAAGCGUUAAUCGGAAUUACUGGGCGUAAAGCGCACGCAGACGGUUGGAUAAGUUAGAUGUGAAAGCCCCGGGCUCAACCUGGGAAUUACAUUUAAAACUGUCCAGCUAGAGUCUUGUAGAGGGGGGUAGAAUUCCAGGUGUAGCGGUGAAAUGCGUAGAGAUCUGGAGGAAUACCGGUGGCGAAGGCGGCCCCCUGGACAAAGACUGACGCUCAGGUGCGAAAGCGUGGGGAGCAAACAGG